This 422-nucleotide unclassified non-coding RNA is filed under the name Hevea brasiliensis (rubber tree). Lineage: Eukaryota; Viridiplantae; Streptophyta; Magnoliopsida; Malpighiales; Euphorbiaceae. The record is from RNAcentral.
CACAAAUAAUACAGCAUAAGAUAAUGAACGUAAUUGGUAAGCCAAGCAUUGGGAUCUAAGGGCAUUUGUGGAGUAACUUAUCCUAGCUGGGUCCUAGUUUUCCAAACCCCCCGCCCCAAAAAGAAAGGAGGGGAAAAGAGAAGAAUACAAAAUCUUGCUAAAUUCUGCCUCAUUGAGUUCUGUUGAGACAUUUUGACUUGAGAAUGAAUUGAUGAUUUCAGUACAAUGAGAAAUGCAAUCAGUAAGUAUCUUCUUGUACCUCAACCUCCAGUCAACUGCUAAUUUCCACCGUUCAGCUGACCUUUUGGUCUUACUGCAUAGCAGCAACUCAGCACCAUUUUCUUUUUUCUGCAGACUACUGGCUUCCAAGAAAGCACAAGCCUCACUUUCUGAUCGACAAAGCAUCUCCCCCAGCUCCAUAG